AGUGAACGCUGGCGGUAGGCCUAACACAUGCAAGUCGAACGGCAGCACAGUAAGAGCUUGCUCUUACGGUUGGCGAGUGGCGGACGGGUGAGGAAUACAUCGGAAUCUACUUUUUCGUGGGGGAUAACGUAGGGAAACUUACGCUAAUACCGCAUACGACCUACGGGUGAAAGCAGGGGAUCUUCGGACCUUGCGCGAUUGAAUGAGCCGACGUCGGAUUAGCUAGUUGGCGUGGUAAAGGCCCACCAAGGCGACGAUCCGUAGCUGGUCUGAGAGGAUGAUCAGCCACACUGGGACUGAGACACGGUCCAGACUCCUACGGGAGGCAGCAGUGGGGAAUAUUGGACAAUGGGCGCAAGCCUGAUCCAGCAAUACCGCGUGGGUGAAGAAGGCCUUCGGGUUGUAAAGCCCUUUUGUUGGGAAAGAAAAGCAGCAGGUUAAUCCCCCGCUGUUCUGACGGUACCCAAAGAAUAAGCACCGGCUAACUUCGUG
This 492-nucleotide ribosomal RNA is filed under the name uncultured bacterium. RNAcentral describes it as "partial 16S ribosomal RNA". It matches the Rfam family "Bacterial small subunit ribosomal RNA", at positions 29 to 507 of the family's 1533-position model. The record is from RNAcentral.